CUCACUUACAAUGCGUGUCAGC
RNAcentral lists this non-coding RNA (22 nucleotides) under Rattus norvegicus (Norway rat). Lineage: Eukaryota; Metazoa; Chordata; Mammalia; Rodentia; Muridae. The record is from RNAcentral.